RNAcentral lists this long non-coding RNA (321 nucleotides) under Ananas comosus (pineapple). RNAcentral's name for it is "long non-coding RNA (ACOM_LNC004819)". Lineage: Eukaryota; Viridiplantae; Streptophyta; Magnoliopsida; Poales; Bromeliaceae. The record is from RNAcentral.
UUUUAACAUUUCAGAAUACAUUUUUUUUUAAUAUAUAUUUAACGAUAUUUAAAAGCGUUUUAAAUAGUCUACUGUCAUCGACCGUCCCUAGAGUAAGUGGCAAAGGACUUGGUGGUUGGUAUCCGAGACCCAAGUUCGAAUCCUAGUUGAUUCAUAUUUCCAGCUAAGUUUAUUUCUAAAUAAUGAAAUAAACGAAGAGGAUAGCAUGCUAUAUCUACCUCUCAAAAAAAAAAAAAAUAAAUAAAGCCUACCGUCAUAUCUGAAAGUGUCGGCAAGUGAAAAGACCUCACGGUGAUGUCGUUUUGAAGAUUUUGAACCUAC